RNAcentral lists this ribosomal RNA (2013 nucleotides) under Triticum aestivum (bread wheat). Its description in RNAcentral is "partial small subunit ribosomal RNA". The record is from RNAcentral. Lineage: Eukaryota; Viridiplantae; Streptophyta; Magnoliopsida; Poales; Poaceae.
AUGAUACAACAGGUGGUGGUGGACAACGGCAUUGUGCAGGUGGUGGUGUCCAAGACGCAGGGCCAGAUCAUCGGCGUCCGUUAUGUCGACGACACUAACCUCCUCUACUUCAACAACAAUGAGAUAUCAGGCGGGUACUGGGAUGUAGUUUGGAACUUUCCAGGAUCGGGAUAUCCCACGGGCAUGAACGACAUGUUGGACGGUACAGAGUUCAUGGUGGUAUCUGCGAGUGAGGAGCAAGUGGAGCUCUCCUUCAUGAGAACCUACGACCCAUCACGCCUCAACAGCGUCCCGCUCAACGUCGACAAGAGGCUGGUGAUGCUGAGAGGCGGCUCCGGGUUCUACUGCUACUCCAUCUUCGAGCACGCCGGCGGCUGGCCGGCCGUCGACGUCUCGGAGGCCCGGCUCGUCUUCAAGCUCGACCCCACGACGUUCAACUACAUGGCGGUCUCGGACGGGAUCCAGAGGUACAUGCCGGGGGCGGCGGACCGGGACGCGCCCCGGGCCGUGCCGCUGGCGUACAAGGAGGCCGUGCUGCUCGUGCACCCGUCGGAGCCGCAGUUCGCGGGGGAGGUGGACGACAAGUACCAGUACUCCAUGGACAACAAGGACAACCGUGUCCACGGCUGGAUCGCCGGCGCCGGUGGCGACGGCGACCAGGUGCCGGUGGGGUUCUGGGUGGUCACCCCCAGCAACGAGUUCAAGAGCGGCGGCCCCCUCAAGCGCGAGCUCACCUCCCACAUCGGCCCCACCUCGUUGACUAUGUUCAUGGGGACUCAUUACAUCGGAAGCGACAUGGUGGCGAGGAUCGAGGCCGGCGAGCACUGGAAGAAGGUCAUGGGGCCGGUGUUCAUCUACCUCAACUCCAACCCAGAGCGGGGAGGCUUCCAGCCGCUGUGGGAGGACGCCAAGGCGCAGGCGGAGGUCGAGGCGAGCCAAUGGCCGUACAGCUUCCCGUUGUCGCCGGACUUCCACACGGCAGGCGAGAGGGGCUCGGUCACCGGUCGGUUGCUGGUAAGAGACAAGUACACGAGCGGCGGCGAGGACGUGCCCGCCCGGCUGGCCUACGUCGGCCUCGCCGCUCCGGGACAGCCCGGCUCCUGGGCGACGGAGAGCAAGGGUUACCAGUUUUGGACGAGGGCGUCGGCGACAAGCGGCAGCUUCGCCAUUGACGACGUCCGGGCAGGGGAGUACAACCUCUACGCCUGGGUCCCCGGGGUCCUCGGCGACUACAUGCGCACGGCUCCGGUAACGGUGGUGCCCGGCGUCGCCAUUGCCCUCGGCGACCUCGUGUUCGAGCCGCCGCGAUCGGGGCCGACGCUGUGGGAGAUCGGCGUGCCAGACCGCAGCGCCGCCGAGUUCUUCGUCCCUGAUCCCAACCCCAGGUACCUCAGCAAGCUCUUCGUCGCCAGGGACAAGUACAGGCAGUACGGGCUGUGGGAGCGGUACGACGAGCUGUACCCCGCCGGCGACCCCGUCUUCACCAUCGGCGUGAGCAACCCCUUCAAGGACUGGUUCUUCGCGCAUGUCACAAGGAAGACGGGCAACGGCGAGAACGUGCCGACGACGCGGCGGAUCCGGUUCGACGUGCCCCGCGUCGCCGCCGGCGGCACCUACACGCUGCGCAUCGCCCUCGCGGCGGCGCACAUGUGCAAGCUGAAGGUGCAGGUGAACGGGGCGACGGGGAGGGGGCCGGCGGGGGGAGUGUUGGUGACGCCCGAGUUCGGCGACGACAACGCGAUCGCGCGGCACGGCGAGCACGGCAGGUGGUGGAGCUUCGAGUUCCCGAUCGACGGGCGGCUGCUCGUGCAAGGGGAGAACACCAUCAGCGUCACGCAGGCGAGGGCGUUCACCGUGUUCAUGGGGGUCUUGUACGAUUACGUCCGGCUGGAAGGGCCGUCCGGUUGGGAUUCUGGCGUCACAAGUAGUGCUGGUCUAGGCGAAAUCUUGCCUCUCGGUUUGCUAUAUGGGCUUGUCGUGCUACCAACAUUGAUAUUUCUGCUAAGCAAGUGA